GGCUGGGUAGCUCAGUUGGUUAGAGCACCGUCCUGAUAUGCCAUUGUUGUGGGUUCAGUUCCCAGUCAGGCCA
RNAcentral lists this transfer RNA (73 nucleotides) under Myotis brandtii (Brandt's bat). It matches the Rfam family "tRNA". Rfam says of the family: Transfer RNA (tRNA) molecules are approximately 80 nucleotides in length. Lineage: Eukaryota; Metazoa; Chordata; Mammalia; Chiroptera; Vespertilionidae. The record is from Rfam by way of RNAcentral.